Molecule: transfer RNA, 65 nt
Filed under: Pliocardia ponderosa
Lineage: Eukaryota; Metazoa; Mollusca; Bivalvia; Venerida; Vesicomyidae
Description: tRNA-Trp
Source: RNAcentral
AGGAUAUUAAGUUAAGCAGACUAUGGUAUUUCAAGUAUUAAAGUGAAACGCAGUUUCAUAUCCCG